Non-coding RNA from Podarcis lilfordi (Lilford's wall lizard), 3390 nucleotides. Lineage: Eukaryota; Metazoa; Chordata; Lepidosauria; Squamata; Lacertidae. The record is from the annotation of a GenBank genome assembly.
CUCAUUUGUUAUACAAAGAUGUUAAAUAAUUUAAAUACAUUCUCCACAGUCACUCAAGAAUCAGAUUUAUACCUAAACAAAGCUGUACAUAUGAGGUAGAGAAAAAUAAUUUAGGCUCCCAUAAGACAUUAACCACCCCAAACCCGCCCCCUGGAAAAUAUAAUAAUACAUACUACAAAUCCUUCAUAUGUCAGAAUUUGCUCCUCACAACCCUUCCCAAAAGGAACUCAGUUUGCACAACAAGUCCCCGUUCAUGCUUCCUAGAUGAAAAAAAUGGAAUCAGAGACCAUUAAUGAGCUAAACAAUACUUUUUUUUUUUUUUACUAAAAAUCGAUGCACCCAAAACAGAAAUGGAGGAUGCUGAUCCAAUUCAGAUGGCAAUUUUAAAACUUAAUCAUUCAUACCCAAAGACUGGUUUUGUUUGUUUGUUUCAUAUUCAGGGAGAUCACCUCUCCGUGUCUUUCUCCAAAGCAAUAAAUAGAGGCUGAAAUGAUGAACCCUGAAAUUUAAGAAAAGUGCUGCUGAACACAUCUUCUGCAGAGUUCUCCACCUCCCCUCUUGCAUUGGCUUAGGUAAACAAGAAGCUCUCUUACGCAGACUCAAACCUUUAGCCCAUCUAGUACAGUGGUGUCUACACGGACUGGCAACAGCUCUAGAGCAUUUCAGGCAGAGAUCUUUCCCAAACCUACCCUGAGAUGCCAGAACCUGGGAGCUUAUGCAUACAAAGCAGACACUCUACCACACAGCUACAGCCUUUCGACAUCAUUUUAAGACUCCCCACCCCUACAAUCUCCACUCCAAAUUGUGACAUGCAAGCGAAAGAGAUCCUAGCGAUUUUUUUGGCAGGGAGAGAAAACCAGUUGACAUGGGGGUGCCAUUUUGGCUGUACUUUUAGCUUCAAAAGAGAAGCAUUGUACUUCCCCCUUUCCUCACACGUCUUGGAAGUAAGACCCUAACAGGGCCUCUAUUCAUAACCCUUUUUAUUACGGCACCUGACAUCAACUUAUUAUAUCCUGGGUCCAUCUCAAGGACAGCCACAUGGCUGCCUUUACCAUCUGAAAGGACAUUGACAACUUUCCAUGCACACUACCAAAUCCUCCACCUUCGGCCUAGCCUUCCCCAAGUUGGUGACCUCUAGCUGUUGAACUACAGCUCCCAUCGUACCUAACAAUGGGCAAAGCUUGCUAGGGUUGGUGGGAAUCGGAGCCUCAAUACCACCUAGAGGUCCGCAAGUCAAGGGCUGCCUCAGGCAGUCUUAGAAGACAGAACCUGGUGUGGUGUUUUGUGGGUUUGAAUGUAACACUGGAAAACCUACCACAAAAGCUGUCUCAGUUACACCAGCUUGGGGAAAGUAGUGUGUAACUAUAUUAUUGAAUAGUAAUUUAUAUAAAUAAUGGGUGCACCCCACUAGAGGAAGAAUGUCGGUAAGACAAGGUUGAUUGGGCAAGGAGAACCUAUUAUUAUUACUAUUAUUAUUAUUAUUAUUAUUAUACAUUUAUUUAUAGCCCGCCUUUUCCCCUGAUAGGACUCAAUGUGGUUUCCAUCAAGACUGAGAGAGAGGAAUAGGAAAUCAGUGAGAGGCAAGAUGGCCACCACAGCAGUCCAACUCAUGCACUAUCCACUGGUGCUGUGCUCAACCAAGUCUGCUUUGUGCGCAGAACAUUCCAGGUUCAAUUCCUAGCAUCUCCAAGAGGAGCUGAGAAUGUUCGCCUCACCUGAAACCUUAGAAAGGGGCCACUAGUUAGGAUAGACCAUGCUGAGCUAGAUGGACCAAUGUUAUGACUUGCUAUGUUAUGACUUGCCCAUGUUCCAGCCUUCUCUAGGUUGCCCCUAGCUGGCCCUGGGCUAGCACAGCUGUGGCAGGUUCUUCUCCAUUCUCUCCCCUUCCUUGAUUAGGUUUCAUGUGGAGUCAGAUUCACACUUUGCCUGGAAAAGACUGACAGUCAAAGUGUACUGUCGCUCCAUGUUUCACAAAGGAGCCAAUCCUUAUGAUUGUCACAAUAGAACCAGAUGCCUUAGAUUGAAGCAGCAAAAAGUGUUCUAGACCACCAGGAAAGUGUCUACCUUAAGGCAUAACCAAUGUGUUAAAACAACACAAGAUCAUUUUCAGCUUUGGGUCAAUGACCUACUUUUGGGCUACAAAUAGGAGCAGCCCACUGCUAGGUCAUGGAACAAAAAAACCCAUUAAGAGCAGAUAUUUCUUGGACCCAGUGAGAAUUUGGCAGAUGAUGAAAAACCCAACUCCAUGAACACCAUGAUCAUGACCCAGUACAAUUCAAUAGGGGAGCAACAGUCUCAACAUGCCCAUUUAAGUCAAUUGGUGACUGCAUGGACGGCCACAGGUUCUUUGCAACUUCAGUAGGUUCAACAAAACACAUCCUCCUGGGUUUGUUUCAUUUUGUCUUGCAAAAAGACACCCUAAUGCUGACUCUCCUGGCUUUCCACAAAACUGCCAUAAAUAUGCAGAAGACAGAUGGUCACAAGGGCAUUUGCUACAAGGCACCAUGGCUGAGCGAAACAUCCUCUGCAGUGUGUGCACCCAUAUUGCAUAUAUAUUACUACAAAAUAUCGUUGUGUGUAUAUUAGGAGCAUUUGCUAAACAUGUUAACUUAUGAAACAGCCGCAAGAGAUUAAGCAACAAAGAAGCAAAAUGGAAGGUGUAGAAUACAAGGGAUCUGCUGGCCCUCAGCUACUAGAGGACACUCUCAUUUAAACUUAAUGGAAUUUAAGGCCUCUCUUCACCCACCUGGUACCCUCCAGAUGUUGUUGGACUGCAACGCCCAGCUGUGACUGAUGUGAGCUACAGUCUAACAACACCCAGAGGUGGGUGAAGGUUGGAUUGAGGGCUCUCUCUCUCCCUUGUUCUGUUUCAUAGGGAGCAUCUAAAGAACCAACAGGCUAGCUAGUUACGCAGAACCUGGCGGGCUUUCGACUUGCAGUUCCACAAACAACAGAAAUUCCCUCGCCCAUCUCCAUGACACAAAAAGGUUUCUUCAGAAACCAAGGAGAGUCGAGAGCAGUUCUGAGAUCCUGCUCGGGGGUUAAGUCAAAAUCAAAAGUCUCACUGGACACAAGCCAGCCUUUGGAAGCUUUUCCAAAGGGUAGCGCGUUGGAUCCUGGUCAACUGUCUCUCCACCAACAUUGAUAGCAGGGGGAGCCAACAUAUUGUCCUCAUAUUGUGUAGAGACUCAUAACCCUCACCACGCUCAGUCUGCAUGGGCCAAUGGUCAGGGCUGGAGGGCAGUCUGAAUCCUACAUAGUAUGUAAGACACCAUGUUAGUUUCCCAGGAUUUAAGGCAAGGAAAGCACUGCACACUAGCAUCAACCUUACUGGGGAGGACAACUUGUAAUAUGGCCUUGGGUUGAUGAAAGCCCCAUAAAAGCUAGCCC